This is an RNA transcript of Populus trichocarpa (black cottonwood), 1758 nucleotides long. It is a transcript of the gene named mediator of RNA polymerase II transcription subunit 31, with no coding region annotated. The transcript has 8 exons. The record is from RefSeq and is a predicted model, not a curated record. NCBI's taxonomy places the organism in Eukaryota, Viridiplantae, Streptophyta, Magnoliopsida, Malpighiales, Salicaceae.
UGAUUGAAUUGAACCGGGUGUUGUUGAGAAUGCAUGCCCUAAGAGUAAUUUAUUGUGUGUGCUUUAUUCAACAAUUCUGGGUAAUCAUCAUCCAACACUUACAAAGAUGAACAUCGUAUUUGUUUUAUGAUAAAUUAACACAAUUUAUGUUUUUAGUGAUCACAGGUUAGCCCGAUCACUUGUUUUUUCUCCAACUCUAAUUGAUGACGGGAUUUUUGGAAUUAUAGAAUUUAAAUUUUGACCACUCUCUUAGACUUGAUAUAAAUUCAACCCAGUUCAAGCACAACAGCCUUGGAUCGGCAUAGGCUCUUAGCCAAGCCCCCCUUUAACACUCAAGUAUUAAUUUAAUACCCAGCUGGACAUUUGGCUGUUGGCUCCUUAGCCCCCCUCUCUUUCUUGCAAUUCCUCGAAGAAAUCUCAAGAUCAGCAAAUAUUUCAAUGGCUUCCUCUAAAGAAACCGAUAAUAAUCCAGACACUCCAUCCUCGCCAAAGAAGAUAUAUAAAGACCCAGAUGAUGGGAGGCAACGGUUUUUGUUGGAAUUGGAGUUUGUUCAAUGUCUUGCUAACCCUACUUACAUCCAUUAUUUGGCUCAGAAUCGUUAUUUUGAAGAUGAAGCAUUUAUUGGCUAUUUAAAGUACCUACAGUACUGGCAACGUCCAGAGCACGUGAAAUUUAUAAUGUAUCCUCAUUGCUUAUAUUUUCUUGAACUUCUCCAAAAUGCAAACUUCCGCAAUGCAAUGGCACAUCCUGGCAACAAGGAGUUGGCACAUAGACAGCAAUUCUUUUUCUGGAAGAACUACAGAAACAACCGGUUGAAGCAUAUCUUACCCAGACCUCUCCCUGAACCUGUCACUGCACCCCCUGCUCUAGCUCCUCCACCUCAAACUCCUGUUCAACCUGUACCACCUGUGUCUGCUGCAACUCUUGGCAUGCCGGCUGCUCCUGGUGCAGUCCCCUUGCCCAUGCCUCCUGGUUCUGCUUUUGGAAAAAGUGAUAUCAGGAACAGUGGAAGUGAUAGAAGAAAGAGGAAGAAAGAAGUUUAACUUGAACCACUCUACUAUCUAUGUUAAAAGUAGCGGGACCAGUAUGUCUGGUAAGGUAGCUAUACAAACUCGUCGACUGGGUCUACAGUGCUGAAAAGGUGUCAAAGAUAGAUUUGAUGGCCUUUUUCUUUUCCAUUUUGCAUCUUCUUGUUCAUUGACCAGGUGGUGAAACCUAAUUGAACUACUCAGCUUCAGGAUUCUUAGAUGGUUCAGGAUAAAAAGAAAAAUAGCUUCGUUUCUGUUUCUGGUUCCACCCCACAGUGAGCCUCAGAGUUAGUUCCCCGUAUCGAAAUCUGACAACUAUGUCUGAAGCAUCUCAGUCCCUACUGUCAAUCAUGGAGGAAAAUCAUCGAAAGAAAUUUAGCUUGUAAUAUCAUUCAUCAAGUGAAAAGGGUCGUAGUAGGCGUGUGUUAGAUGAUUUAGCUGGUGACUUGGAAAGAUUUAUAUCUUGUUUGCACAGAUCAAGCUUUGCCAGCACUAAAAAAUGGCAAAAAAAUCCAAGAGGAGGGCUGGCUCCAUCACGCAUGAUUCCAAAUGCAAUGAUUCGUUUUAAGGAAAAGGCAGGAAAGAUCUUAAGAUUAGUUUUGUUACUUCUCUAACUCUGAUGAAUUGAGUAAUGUCGGUAACAAAAAUCUAAGGUGGCUGAUUAUUAUGUAAUUAUCCAUAACGUUGUGUCCAAAUUUAGUAAUAAAUAAUAAAAUAAUAAUUUUUUGA